ACGCUCGACACCUACGGGAGCAGCAGUGGGGAAUAUUGCACAAUGGGGGAAACCCUGAUGCAGCGACGCCGCGUGAGCGAAGAAGUAUUUCGGUAUGUAAAGCUCUAUCAGCAGGGAAGAAACUGACGGUACCUGACUAAGAAGCACCGGCUAAAUACGUGCCGGCAGCCGCGGUAAUCUGAGCGGGCUGGCAAGGC
Molecule: ribosomal RNA, 197 nt
Filed under: uncultured bacterium
Lineage: Bacteria
Description: partial 16S ribosomal RNA
Rfam family: Bacterial small subunit ribosomal RNA
Source: RNAcentral